This 275-nucleotide ribosomal RNA is filed under the name uncultured prokaryote. RNAcentral's name for it is "partial 16S ribosomal RNA". It matches the Rfam family "Bacterial small subunit ribosomal RNA", at positions 524 to 798 of the family's 1533-position model. The record is from RNAcentral.
UACGUAGGGGUCGAGCGUUGUCCGGAGUUACUGGGCGUAAAGCGCAUGCAGGCGGCUCAUUACGCAUGGCGUGAAAGCCCCCGGCUCAACCGGGGAGGGUCGUCGUGAACGGGUGAGCUUGAGGGUAUCAGGGGCUGGUGGAAUUCCCGGUGUAGUGGUGAAAUGCGUAGAGAUCGGGAGGAACACCUGUGGCGAAGGCGGCCAGCUGGGAUACACCUGACGCUGAGAUGCGAAGGCGUGGGGAGCGAACGGGAUUAGAUACCCCGGUAGUCCCU